This 253-nucleotide ribosomal RNA is filed under the name uncultured bacterium. RNAcentral's name for it is "partial 16S ribosomal RNA". It matches the Rfam family "Bacterial small subunit ribosomal RNA", at positions 524 to 776 of the family's 1533-position model. The record is from RNAcentral.
UACGUAGGGGGCAAGCGUUGUCCGGAAUCAUUGGGCGUAACGAGCGUGUAGGCGGCCCGGUAAGUCCGCCGUGAAAGUCCAGGGCUCAACCCUGGAAUGCCGGUGGAAACUGCCGGGCUGGAGUCCGGAAGAGGCGAGUGGAAUUCCUGGUGUAGCGGUGAAAUGCGCAGAUAUCAGGAGGAACACCGGUGGCGAAGGCGGGUCUCUGGGCCGAUACUGACGCUGAGGAGCGAAAGCGUGGGGAGCAAACAGG